GUAACGACCCCAAAAUGGACCGUCACCGGCGCUAGGAUUCAGGUCGGCUUAAGGCCGCCAGAACCCGUAGCAAGCCUGCUAUACUCUCUGUGUACCUGUAAACCUCAUACAUGAUCAUACAUUUUCUGUGAAAAUAAAACUCUUUUCUGAACCAAGGCUUAACCUGUGCAUGCACUAUCUCUGUACUCUGUACUCAUGUACUCUGUACUCUGUAUCCCUGACUAGAGCUUGCUCUAGAUGGGUUCACUCAUACCUGUUAAGCCUGGUUUUUACAUACAGGAAAACAUAUAUACAUAUACAGAUCAUGUACAACACAUACAUCACUAGGUCAAGCAACAACUAUUACAUCUCGUUAAUAUUACAUGUCCACUCUAAGCUCUUACAGAUCUCUUUACUUUUCUUGUACUCUGCUGGACUGUCCCUGUACACUGUACACUGAAUACUGAACCUGCAAAACUGGGGUUAAGGGAGUGGGAUGAGCUCUAUAGCUCAGUGAGUAGAACAGUAAAACAUCUUAGUAAAAUAUGAUCUCAUGGAAUGCACCAUAUCACAGACAAGCCACAUCAAGAGUAAACCUGUCACCACGUAGUCCCAGUAACUCUGUGCCAGGGCGUAGAAUCGAGCACCUGGUCUUCCUGUCAUAUAUGUAUAUGUGUAUAUAACACCUGUGAACUUACCAUUGCCAGGGCAUAGUCAAAGGCUCCUGGACUUUGCUAUACCUGCCAGGGCGUAGUCAAAGGCUCCUGGACUUUGCUAUACGUGCCAGGGCGUAGUCAAAGGCUCCUGGACUUCCUGUCUGAGACUAUUGGAUCAUUCAGCAUUCACUCACAUCACCAAAGAACAAUGCAAUGCAACAUAUUCGUGAAUACUAAUGCAAUCAACCUAUGGCAUAAACAUGAUGCAUGAGAUAUGCUAAAAGCAGUUUGUGGUUCAAUUAAAAGUCAUAAAUUUAGUUUCACUCACCUCUGGCUAUCUGGACUGACUGACUCUGCAGGCUCUGA
This 1001-nucleotide long non-coding RNA is filed under the name Manihot esculenta (cassava). Its description in RNAcentral is "long non-coding RNA (MESC_LNC007460)". The record is from RNAcentral. Lineage: Eukaryota; Viridiplantae; Streptophyta; Magnoliopsida; Malpighiales; Euphorbiaceae.